This 72-nucleotide transfer RNA is filed under the name Bos taurus (domestic cattle). It matches the Rfam family "tRNA". Rfam says of the family: Transfer RNA (tRNA) molecules are approximately 80 nucleotides in length. Their secondary structure includes four short double-helical elements and three loops (D, anti-codon, and T loops). Lineage: Eukaryota; Metazoa; Chordata; Mammalia; Artiodactyla; Bovidae. RNAcentral also lists the same sequence under 4 other names. The record is from Rfam by way of RNAcentral.
UCCCCGGUGGCUCAGUUGGUAAAGCGUCUGCCUACAAUGUGGGAGACCCAGGUUCGAUCCCUGGAUUGGGAA